GAGUAGCUGGGACCACAGGUGCAUGCCACCAUGUUGGGCUAAUUGUUGUAUUUUUUGAAGAGACAAGGUUUCACCACAUUGCCCAGGCUAGCCUCAAAGUCCUGGGCUCAAGCCAUCCACCCACCUCAGCCUCUCAAAGUGCUGAAAGUGCUGGAAUUACAGGCAUGAGCCACCCCACCUGGCCAUCAUUACAUCUAAUCUACACUUGCGGAAUAGUAUCCUAAGAUACCUAUCUCUUGUCUUUAAAAAUCUCGAUUUCAUCCUUUACAUUGCUGCCAGAAUUGUAUUUUUAAAAGUUCUUUCUGUCACCUCUCUGAAGACCUGGUUCAUAUCUGCAGCUGCAACUCUAUCCCUGAACUCAUCUUUGAAACUACCCAGAGAUAGACUGUCAAGAGCUUCAGAGCUUUACAACAGGAUCUUCCAAGUGCCCUGAGAGGUCAUGAUGGAGCCAAUAGAAAUAAAUCAUACAAAACAAAGCCAGAACCUGGUGGGAGGGAUGCUUACAAAACAACAUAAACGAGAAGUUGUCUGAAAAAAAAUUGUAUGGAAGGAAGAAGAGAUGAGAUAAGGGAAAUGAACUCAUAAUAGCCCCAGUUAAAAUACUUACAGUAAAAUAUCAUUAGUACUACUUGAUGUUGGUGAAAGGCUCUAGACUCAAGUCAGAAGGCCCAAUUUGUUGCUGUGAUUUCUUGAACAAAUUAUGUAAUUGUGUUGAGAUUCAGUUUUCUUUUCUAUCAUUGGGUAUUAAUAACUUCUAUGUGAUGUCAGAGUUAUGAUGUGAAGUUAAAAUAACUAAUAAAUGGGUAAACCCUGAAAA
This 817-nucleotide long non-coding RNA is filed under the name Homo sapiens (human). Its description in RNAcentral is "long intergenic non-protein coding RNA 2552". The record is from RNAcentral. Lineage: Eukaryota; Metazoa; Chordata; Mammalia; Primates; Hominidae.